RNAcentral lists this ribosomal RNA (494 nucleotides) under uncultured bacterium. Its description in RNAcentral is "partial 16S ribosomal RNA". It matches the Rfam family "Bacterial small subunit ribosomal RNA", at positions 29 to 507 of the family's 1533-position model. The record is from RNAcentral.
ACGAACGCUGGCGGCGUGCCUAAUACAUGCAAGUAGGACGCUGAAGGAGGAGCUUGCUUCUCUGGAUGAGUUGCGAACGGGUGAGUAACGCGUAGGUAACCUGCCUGGUAGCGGGGGAUAACUAUUGGAAACGAUAGCUAAUACCGCAUAAUAGUAGAUGUUGCAUGACAUUUGCUUAAAAGGUGCAAUUGCAUCACUACCAGAUGGACCUGCGUUGUAUUAGCUAGUUGGUGGGGUAACGGCUCACCAAGGCGACGAUACAUAGCCGACCUGAGAGGGUGAUCGGCCACACUGGGACUGAGACACGGCCCAGACUCCUACGGGAGGCAGCAGUAGGGAAUCUUCGGCAAUGGACGGAAGUCUGACCGAGCAACGCCGCGUGAGUGAAGAAGGUUUUCGGAUCGUAAAGCUCUGUUGUAAGAGAAGAACGAGUGUGAGAGUGGAAAGUUCACACUGUGACGGUAUCUUACCAGAAAGGGACGGCUAACUACGUG